RNAcentral lists this ribosomal RNA (443 nucleotides) under uncultured bacterium. RNAcentral describes it as "partial 16S ribosomal RNA". It matches the Rfam family "Bacterial small subunit ribosomal RNA", at positions 338 to 795 of the family's 1533-position model. The record is from RNAcentral.
CCUACGGGAGGCAGCAGUGGGGAAUAUUGGGCAAUGGGCGCAAGCCUGACCCAGCAACGCCGCGUGAAGGAAGAAGGCUCUCGGGUUGUAAACUUCUUUUAUCAGGGACGAAGCAAGUGACGGUACCUGAUGAAUAAGCCACGGCUAACUACGUGCCAGCAGCCGCGGUAAUACGUAGGUGGCAAGCGUUAUCCGGAUUUACUGGGUGUAAAGGGCGUGUAGGCGGGAAAGCAAGUCAGAUGUGAAACCCAUGGGCUCAACCUGUGGCCUGCAUUUGAAACUGUUUUUCGUGAGUACUGGAGAGGCAGACGGAAGUCCUAGUGUAGCGGUGAAAUGCGUAGAUAUUAGGAGGAACACCAGUGGCGAAGGCGGUCUGCUGGACAGCAACUGACGCUGAGGCGCGAAAGCGUGGGGAGCAAACAGGAUUAGAUACCCGGGUAGUG